RNAcentral lists this ribosomal RNA (894 nucleotides) under uncultured marine bacterium. RNAcentral's name for it is "bacterial SSU rRNA". It matches the Rfam family "Bacterial small subunit ribosomal RNA", at positions 57 to 999 of the family's 1533-position model. The record is from RNAcentral.
GCAAGUCGAACGAAGUAGCAAUACUUAGUGGCAGACGGGUGAGUAACAUGUAGGUAUCUGCCCUUUGGCCUGGAAUAACACGAGGAAACUUGUGCUAAUACCGGAUAAGUCCUUACGGAGAAAGCUUUAUGCACCAUUGGAUGAGCCUGCACUUGAUUAGUUUGUUGGUGGGGUAAUGGCCUACCAAGACUGUGAUCAAUAGCUGAUUUGAGAGGAUGAUCAGCCACAUUGGGACUGAGACACGGCCCAAACUCCUACGGGAGGCAGCAGUGGGGAAUCUUGCACAAUGGAGGAAACUCUGAUGCAGCGAUGCCGCGUGAGUGAAGAAGGCCCUUGGGUUGUAAAGCUCUUUCGUCGGGGAAGAAAAUGACUGUACCCGAAUAAGAAGGUCCGGCUAACCUCGUGCCUGCAGCCGCGGUAAUACGAAGGGACCUAGCGUAGUUCGGAAUUACUGGGCUUAAAGAGUUCGUAGGUGGUUGAAAAAGUUAGUGGUGAAAUCCCAGAGCUUAACUCUGGAACUGCCAUUAAAACUUUUCAGCUAGAGUAUGAUAGAGGAAAGUAGAAUUUCUAGUGUAGAGGUGAAAUUCGUAGAUAUUAGAAAGAAUACCAAUUGCGAAGGCAGCUUUCUGGAUCAUUACUGACACUGAGGAACGAAAGCAUGGGUAGCGAAGAGGAUUAGGUACCCUCGUAGUCCAUGCCGUAAACGAUGUGUGUUAGACGUUGGAAAUUUAUUUUCAGUGUCGCAGGGAAACCGAUAAACACACCGCCUGGGGAGUACGACCGCAAGGUUAAAACUCAAAUGAAUUGACGGGGACCCGCACAAGUAGUGGAGCAUGUGGUUUAUUUCGAAGAUACGCGCAGAACCUUACCAGCACUUGACAUGUUCGUCGCGAC